UGGGGAAUCUUGGACAAUGGGGGCAACCCUGAUCCAGCGACGCCGCGUGGGUGGUAAGGCCUUCGGGUUGUAAAGCCCUUUCAGCGGGGAAGAUGAUGACAUUACCCGCAGAAGAAGCGCCGGCUAACUCCGUGCCAGCAGCCGCGGUAAGACGGAGGGCGCUAGCGUUGUUCGGAAUCACUGGGCGUAAAGGGCGCGUAGGCGGACGGUCAAGUCAGAGGUGAAAGGCCCGGGCUCAACCUGGGACGUGCCUUUGAAACUGAUUGUCUUGAGUGCGGAAGAGGGUGACGGAAUUCCCAGUGUAGAGGUGAAAUUCGUAGAUAUUGGGAAGAACACCGGUGGCGAAGGCGGUCACCUGGUCCGCAACUGACGCUGAGGCGCGAAAGCGUGGGGAGCAAACAGGAUUAGAUACCCCCGUAGUCC
Molecule: ribosomal RNA, 423 nt
Filed under: uncultured prokaryote
Description: bacterial SSU rRNA
Rfam family: Bacterial small subunit ribosomal RNA
Source: RNAcentral